Long non-coding RNA from Sphaeramia orbicularis (orbiculate cardinalfish), 120 nucleotides. RefSeq lists it as uncharacterized. NCBI's taxonomy places the organism in Eukaryota, Metazoa, Chordata, Actinopteri, Kurtiformes, Apogonidae. The record is from RefSeq and is a predicted model, not a curated record. The transcript has 3 exons.
UUUUUCACUCUCCUACUUUGGGUGAUGUAAGUGAUGAACAUGGUGGAAAAUUUCAACCAGAUAUUUCUGAAAUGGAAACCAGGUACCAAGCGGGUUCAAGCCAAACAUGAUAGUGGAUAC